RNAcentral lists this ribosomal RNA (464 nucleotides) under uncultured bacterium. RNAcentral describes it as "partial 16S ribosomal RNA". It matches the Rfam family "Bacterial small subunit ribosomal RNA", at positions 29 to 507 of the family's 1533-position model. The record is from RNAcentral.
ACGAACGCUGGCGGCGUGCUUAACACAUGCAAGUCGAACGGAAAGGCCCUGCUUGCAGGGUACUCGAGUGGCGAACGGGUGAGUAACACGUGGGUGAUCUGCCCCGCACUUCGGGAUAAGCCUGGGAAACUGGGUCUAAUACCGGAUAGGAGCCAUUUUUAGUGUGAUGGUUGGAAAGUUUUUUCGGUGUAGGAUGAGCUCGCGGCCUAUCAGCUUGUUGGUGGGGUAAUGGCCUACCAAGGCGGCGACGGGUAGCCGGCCUGAGAGGGUGGACGGCCACAUUGGGACUGAGAUACGGCCCAGACUCCUACGGGAGGCAGCAGUGGGGAAUAUUGCACAAUGGGCGCAAGCCUGAUGCAGCGACGCCGCGUGGGGGAUGACGGCCUUCGGGUUGUAAACUCCUUUCGCUAGGGACGAAGCUUUUUGUGACGGUACCUAGAUAAGAAGCACCGGCUAACUACGUG